RNAcentral lists this ribosomal RNA (1306 nucleotides) under Bacillus sp. ECS204. Its description in RNAcentral is "bacterial SSU rRNA". It matches the Rfam family "Bacterial small subunit ribosomal RNA", at positions 55 to 1344 of the family's 1533-position model. Lineage: Bacteria; Bacillati; Bacillota; Bacilli; Caryophanales; Bacillaceae. The record is from RNAcentral.
AUGCAAGUCGAGCGGACAGAUGGGAGCUUGCUCCCUGAUGUUAGCGGCGGACGGGUGAGUAACACGUGGGUAACCUGCCUGUAAGACUGGGAUAACUCCGGGAAACCGGGGCUAAUACCGGAUGGUUGUCUGAACCGCAUGGUUCAGACAUAAAAGGUGGCUUCGGCUACCACUUACAGAUGGACCCGCGGCGCAUUAGCUAGUUGGUGAGGUAACGGCUCACCAAGGCGACGAUGCGUAGCCGACCUGAGAGGGUGAUCGGCCACACUGGGACUGAGACACGGCCCAGACUCCUACGGGAGGCAGCAGUAGGGAAUCUUCCGCAAUGGACGAAAGUCUGACGGAGCAACGCCGCGUGAGUGAUGAAGGUUUUCGGAUCGUAAAGCUCUGUUGUUAGGGAAGAACAAGUGCCGUUCAAAUAGGGCGGCACCUUGACGGUACCUAACCAGAAAGCCACGGCUAACUACGUGCCAGCAGCCGCGGUAAUACGUAGGUGGCAAGCGUUGUCCGGAAUUAUUGGGCGUAAAGGGCUCGCAGGCGGUUUCUUAAGUCUGAUGUGAAAGCCCCCGGCUCAACCGGGGAGGGUCAUUGGAAACUGGGGAACUUGAGUGCAGAAGAGGAGAGUGGAAUUCCACGUGUAGCGGUGAAAUGCGUAGAGAUGUGGAGGAACACCAGUGGCGAAGGCGACUCUCUGGUCUGUAACUGACGCUGAGGAGCGAAAGCGUGGGGAGCGAACAGGAUUAGAUACCCUGGUAGUCCACGCCGUAAACGAUGAGUGCUAAGUGUUAGGGGGUUUCCGCCCCUUAGUGCUGCAGCUAACGCAUUAAGCACUCCGCCUGGGGAGUACGGUCGCAAGACUGAAACUCAAAGGAAUUGACGGGGGCCCGCACAAGCGGUGGAGCAUGUGGUUUAAUUCGAAGCAACGCGAAGAACCUUACCAGGUCUUGACAUCCUCUGACAAUCCUAGAGAUAGGACGUCCCCUUCGGGGGCAGAGUGACAGGUGGUGCAUGGUUGUCGUCAGCUCGUGUCGUGAGAUGUUGGGUUAAGUCCCGCAACGAGCGCAACCCUUGAUCUUAGUUGCCAGCAUUCAGUUGGGCACUCUAAGGUGACUGCCGGUGACAAACCGGAGGAAGGUGGGGAUGACGUCAAAUCAUCAUGCCCCUUAUGACCUGGGCUACACACGUGCUACAAUGGACAGAACAAAGGGCAGCGAAACCGCGAGGUUAAGCCAAUCCCACAAAUCUGUUCUCAGUUCGGAUCGCAGUCUGCAACUCGACUGCGUGAAGCUGGAAUCGCUAGUAAUCG